GGGCAGGUUGCUGACUUCGGGGGACGAUAACGGCGUCGAGCGGCGGACGGGUGAGUAAUGCCUAGGAAAUUGCCCUGAUGUGGGGGAUAACCAUUGGAAACGAUGGCUAAUACCGCAUGAUGCCUACGGGCCAAAGAGGGGGACCUUCGGGCCUCUCGCGUCAGGAUAUGCCUAGGUGGGAUUAGCUAGUUGGUGAGGUAAGGGCUCACCAAGGCGACGAUCCCUAGCUGGUCUGAGAGGAUGAUCAGCCACACUGGAACUGAGACACGGUCCAGACUCCUACGGGAGGCAGCAGUGGGGAAUAUUGCACAAUGGGCGCAAGCCUGAUGCAGCCAUGCCGCGUGUGUGAAGAAGGCCUUCGGGUUGUAAAGCACUUUCAGUCGUGAGGAAGGUGGUGUAGUUAAUAGCUGCAUUAUUUGACGUUAGCGACAGAAGAAGCACCGGCUAACUCCGUGCCAGCAGCCGGGCUAAUACACAGCUCAUCAUUCCAAAUUACAUUG
This 500-nucleotide ribosomal RNA is filed under the name Vibrio anguillarum. Its description in RNAcentral is "bacterial SSU rRNA". It matches the Rfam family "Bacterial small subunit ribosomal RNA", at positions 64 to 535 of the family's 1533-position model. The record is from RNAcentral. Lineage: Bacteria; Pseudomonadati; Pseudomonadota; Gammaproteobacteria; Vibrionales; Vibrionaceae.